UGGGGUGUAGCUCAGUGGUAGAGCACUUAUACCUAGUAUACCCUAGACCCUGGGUUUGACCCCCAGCACCACAA
RNAcentral lists this transfer RNA (74 nucleotides) under Marmota monax (woodchuck). It matches the Rfam family "tRNA". From Rfam's summary of the family: Transfer RNA (tRNA) molecules are approximately 80 nucleotides in length. Their secondary structure includes four short double-helical elements and three loops (D, anti-codon, and T loops). Further hydrogen bonds mediate the characteristic L-shaped molecular structure. tRNAs have two regions of fundamental functional importance: the anti-codon, which is responsible for specific mRNA codon recognition, and the 3' end, to which the tRNAs corresponding amino acid is attached (by aminoacyl-tRNA synthetases). tRNAs cope with the degeneracy of the genetic code in two manners: having more than one tRNA (with a specific anti-codon) for a particular amino acid; and 'wobble' base-pairing, i.e. permitting non-standard base-pairing at the 3rd anti-codon position. RNAcentral also lists the same sequence under 1 other name. Lineage: Eukaryota; Metazoa; Chordata; Mammalia; Rodentia; Sciuridae. The record is from Rfam by way of RNAcentral.